RNAcentral lists this ribosomal RNA (491 nucleotides) under uncultured bacterium. RNAcentral describes it as "partial 16S ribosomal RNA". It matches the Rfam family "Bacterial small subunit ribosomal RNA", at positions 29 to 506 of the family's 1533-position model. The record is from RNAcentral.
AGUGAACGCUGGCGGUAGGCCUAACACAUGCAAGUCGAACGGCAGCACAGUAAGAGCUUGCUCUUACGGGUGGCGAGUGGCGGACGGGUGAGGAAUACAUCGGAAUCUACUUUUUCGUGGGGGAUAACGUAGGGAAACUUACGCUAAUACCGCAUACGACCUACGGGUGAAAGCAGGGGAUCUUCGGACCUUGCGCGAUUGAAUGAGCCGAUGUCGGAUUAGCUAGUUGGCGGGGUAAAGGCCCACCAAGGCGACGAUCCGUAGCUGGUCUGAGAGGAUGAUCGGCCAAACAGGGACGAAGACACGGUCAAGAUGCCUACGGGAGGCAGCAGGGGGGGAUAUGGGGAAGUGGGCGCAAGCCUGAUACGGCCAUACCGAGUGGAUGAAGAAGGCCUUCGGGUUGUAGAGGCCUUUUGGGGGGAAAGAAAAGAAGAAGGUUAAUACCCCGCUGUUCUGACGGUACCCAAAGAAUAAACACCGGCUAACUUCGU